RNAcentral lists this unclassified non-coding RNA (378 nucleotides) under plant metagenome. Its description in RNAcentral is "partial contains 5.8S ribosomal RNA, internal transcribed spacer 2, and large subunit ribosomal RNA". The stretch from base 1 to 105 matches the Rfam family "5.8S ribosomal RNA", at positions 50 to 154 of the family's 154-position model. The record is from RNAcentral.
GAAAUGCGAUAAGUAAUGUGAAUUGCAGAAUUCAGUGAAUCAUCGAAUCUUUGAACGCACCUUGCGCUCCUUGGUAUUCCUUGGAGCAUGCCUGUUUGAGUAUCAUGAAGUCUUCAAAGUAAAUCUUUUGUUAACUCAAUUGGUUUCUACUUUGGUAUUGGAGGUCUUUGCAGCUUCACACCUGCUCCUCUUUGUUCAUUAGCUGGAUCUCAGUGUUAUGCUUGGUUCCACUCGGCGUGAUAAGUUAUCUAUCGCUGAGGACACUGUAAAAGGUGGCCAAGGUAAAUGCAGAUGAACCGCUUCUAAUAGUCCAUUGACUUGGACAAUACUUUUAUGAUCUGAUCUCAAAUCAGGUAGGACUACCCGCUGAACUUAAGC